UUUUAACCCCUUUCCCCUUCCAGAGCCAGGCGGGAGGGGGACCCUGAGGGUGGGGGCACCCUCAGGGCACUAUAGUGCCAGGAAAACGAGUAUGUUUUCCUGGCACUCUAGUGGUCCUUUAACAAUGUAAUCCUAGUUACAUCUACUAGAUGAGGCAGGUACAACUCAAUGCAUUUUGCCGAUUGAUACUAUGGCUGGGUAUUACUUUUACAGGAACAGUAUAGUCCCCCCAAAUAAUUGUUAAAGGGUUUUUUUAAGUUACCAAGGCAGAUAAUUAAAUGACCCCUUUACUCACCAGUAGCCCAGCACCAAGACAGCAUCUUUUCUGCAGCCCAAUUUUCCUCCACGCCAUCAUGCUCGACGACUAUUUUGUCCAAUCAGAUGCUUCUCGUAGAGGAUGCGUGGCAGGCACGCUCUCAUGGCAGCCUGUAUCGUACAAUGUGUGAGGAUGGUGAACGUCAAGAACGGAUUUUGACUCUGUUCUUGCAACUCACACAUCCAGCUCAAACAGCUUUAUUAAAUGUAAACCGUGUCAGGAUUAUUCAUUCAAGUAAGGAUCCAAAGCGAAUGUCAAAUCUAAUGCCAAAUAGCUGAACAGGAACUGGACUUCGAGAAUGUUCCCAGUACGGUUAUUUUUUAACCUUAAAUUUUAAACUCACUUUGAAUUCUCACGUUAGUAAAUAAUCCUGCGUGUGUUGCUUUGUAAUCGAAAGAAAUAUGGCUGCCAUUUUAACUUCUCUUCUAGUAAAGAAGUAACCGUUAAAACCAGCAUUUAGUGUCCUUAUUAAAUAAGAGAAUUAUUGUACUAGAUCACUUUUAGAAAACGCUAAAGCAUGCUGUGACUCCGAUUGGUUAGAGUGUAUCUGGAUACUGUGAGACGGAACUACAGUCAUGGGGGAAGAGAAAGUACACCUUCUGAAUUCUAUGGUUUUACAUUUCAGGACAUGAUAAUCAUCUGUUGAUUAGCAGCUCUUAAAAUUAGAUGAACUUCAGAACUUAAAUACAACCUCGGAUGAACAAUACAUGACAGAUGUAACUCGUGUGGGUUUUUUUUGUUGCUAUUUCUCUGAGCGUUGUGCAUCUAGUCUUAGGGUAAAUUUGCUGGGACGUCCACUCUUGUGAAGAUAGUCUUGAAUGGUUUCCACUUUUGAAUAAUCUUUCUCACUCUAGAAUGAUGGACUUUACAUUUUUGAAAAUGGCCUUAUGACCCUUCCCAGUGUGAUGGGCAGCAACAAUUGCUUCUCUAAGAUCAUUAUUUUCCUCCUUGGCAUUGUGUUAACACACACCUGAAUGCUCCGGACCAACAAACUGCUAAAUCGUCGGCUUUUAUAGAGGUGGUUACACUUGCUGAUGGUCAAUUAAACAAGGGUAUUUGAUUAGCAGCACCUGUCUGCUACUUAGCCUUUUAAUUCCCACUGGAGCAGUAAGAGUGUACUUCAUGUUUCACACAUGGCUUCUCCAUUUUGGCUUUAUUUUUAUUAAAUCAUGAUACUGUAAUAUGCCAUGCAUUGUUUUUUAUCUGAGUAUUUACCUAAUUUUAAGACCUGCUAAUGAAAAGAUGGUUAUUAUUAAUAUGUCCUAAUAUGUAAAACCCUAGAAUUCUAAGUGGGUGUACUUUCUUUUUCCCAUGACUGUAUAUACGUGUAGACAUUGGAUCAUUUGUUUACACAAUAAAUAUGAGUAUGGUGGUGUCUUUGCCAGAGGGCCAGCUGAAUGAAUACAUGAUGUGCACUCUUUGGCCUGGCUGAGGCUUGUUUUGCGUAGUGUACCUAGAAUCUUGGGGGUUAUCCACUAAACAGCAAGCUGUGUGCACAGAAAUGGUUUGCAAAAUGUAGGAUAAAAUAGCAUUUGAGAGAACAAUUCCAAAUCUGCAUUAUUCUUUUUCUUUCUUUUUGGUUGUUGUUCCAGCUCUGCCCGUUUGUCUGAAAUCUUUCAAAAAGGUUGUGAAAUCACUAGAAGUUGCUGCUUAGGGAGUGGAAUCCUAUUUUUUGUAUUUUAGCAUCACUCAGUAGAUAGGGCCAUUGUCACACAAUAUGACACCGUAGACCAGCCCGCUGUCUGUAUAUAUUGUGCACAGAUAAGUGUUUGACAGAUUUGACAGCUGCUAUUCAUGUAAAACACAUUGUCGCCAUUAUAAAGGGAAUCUCUUGUUUAAAGUCUCAAUCGUAACAUUUUCUCAUAAACCCUGUUUUACAAAUUGCAGUAUGUAUAUUCUCUGUAUUAUUAUAUACCCCUAAAUAAGCUAAUAUGAUUACUUUACCCCUAGAAUGAUGUUCUUAAUGUUGCUGCUUUGGCAGUUUUUACAAACCCACCCAGUCUCAGUGAAUAAAUUCCUGACAGGUUUGCUUUAACAUAAGUGCAGUCAAUAUUUGGUUCAAAUAACAGUAACAUUGAAUGUGCUGGGAUAUUCACAGAUUCAUCGUUUAUAGAUCAUCAUGUCAGAUACAAUAGCCUGUUACCCUCGUGUUCCCAUAAAUCUUUGCCGGCCACUCAUUCUGUUCUUGGCUGGUACAGGUUACAGAGAGUUCUACUUUACUAUUCCCUUACUCGGUCAUUGUGAAGCAGGUGUAUCAAAAUCUGAAUAGACUUUUUUCCAAAUCGUCUGCUUUGGCCUAUAAUUUGCAAUGCCCUUUUUAUCGCUCCACAGGCCGUUGUUUAUUAAAUUAUUGGGGCCCUUCCCUUGUUAAAUAUGUUGCGUCCUUAAUGCAUUAAACUGGAGAAAGGUUUUAUUAGAAAUCUUUCCUACAUGAUGAGGAGGCUGAGGGGCUGUUGAAUAUCAUAAUUCUUUAGAUUAUCCUUACUGGAGAGAUCUUUAUUUAGUGCAUCUGGGGAUUUAAGGUUUAAAAUGAUAAAUUAAUAUAUACUAACCUACUGAAUAAUUACCAAUGGUAGCAAAAUAUCUAACAUUUUAAUGUGUAUUGAAUUAGAAAGCUCUCUAACUCUCCCAUGUGAGUGGAACAGAUAACCUAGGAGCGAGUUUGAACUCUUAGGGUUAAUUACAAACUUAUGCUUUCCUUAAACAAAAAAUACAGGCUUAACCCAAACCGACCACGCACUAGUCAACAGUAUAUUGCCCUCUCCAAUCAAGGACACAAUGUAGCAAGGGACAUGUUCUCAUAUAGGAGAGAAUCGUUGAGAAAUCAAAGUGAAUUUUAAAUUUAAGGUCAAAGCCAGAUUGGGAGAAUUUUCCCAGUUUGAAAUUCCCAACAAUUCUCACUCUAGUCCAGGGAUAGGCAACCUUCGGCACUCCAGAUGUUGUGGACUACAUCACCCAUAAUACUGACAAAGAAUCAUGGGAGGUGUAGUCCAAAACAUCUGGAGUGCCGAAGGUUGCCAAUGCCUGCUCUAGUCAGUAACCCUGAUAGUGUCAGCUGUGAAGCCACUUGUAGGCUGAAAAAAAUGAAUUCUUUGUACAUUACAGUUUGUACGCCCAUGGAUUUGGAACUGGUGCUUUUGUAGCAAACUCAGUCAUUGUAAACAUUCGGAACCUGAAACAGCAUUGUCUUUCUAACGCCUUGGUUCUACAAUGUCUAUUGGCUAGAUCAAGUUUGGGUGGGAUUUAAAUUCUCCUAAUACUGUUUAGUACUCAAUGUAUGGUUUUAAUAAUUAAUACUUUUAUUAGUCUUGUGUACUAAGAUGUCAAUUGCCACAUAAUGGUAUUACUUUGUGCCCUUGCCCCCUUGCCAUUUGUUGUGUCUAGAUACAUACAUGUGUAAUAAUAUAAUUGUUGCCAGGUUUUUAUUAUGUUUCUGAUGUGGUGGGAACGGUAUGGGACAGAUUUGUAUUUCUAUAUAGUGCUGGUCUUUCUAUUAGAGAAAAUCUGAGUUACUUUCCUUAAAUACUGCAAGACAUGACAAUGUUUGCACGGCAGUAUGUGGGCAUUAUAGUGUAAUUCUAAUAUAAGAAUAGAGUGCAUAUCAAAAUAUAAUAUUUUAGAGAGCAAAAAAAACUGACAUCCUAACUAAAUUAUACAUAACGAAGAUUAUCUUGCCAUACAAGCUUGGACAGUUUCUCCAACAUGUAGGGCAUUUUGUAACAUUCUAACAAUAUAGAUAUAAGUUUCCAUAUAUUGAUAGAUCGUACAUUAGUCUAAAUAAAUGCUUCGUUGCUCUGUAGGAAGCAAUAUCCUUCUGUACAUGUUAUUACCUUGUGUGUAUUGCAGCAACGUCCUGCUUGUCCUCGGGUGUAACACGUAACACUUGAUUGAAGUUUAAAAUGAAUUUAGAAAGUGUAAUUUCAUAUUAUAUACAUAUAUAAAUUGUUUAACCGUCCAUUUAAAUAAUUUAAACCUGAUGUUUGCAAAUAUCAUAAAAUCAGGAUUAUUGGGAUAUUGAAAUGACCACUGCCAAUCUACUUGUAGAAAAAAAAAAAAAAGUAGUUUCUUUGUUUAAGAUUGACUUACUCAGGGAUGUUAAUUAGAAGGUUUUAAUAGUACGUGUGCACCAGCAGUAGUCAAUAUGUUUGGUCGCUGGGCAAUCUAUAUAUUUUAGAUGGUAAUGAAGUUAACUACCAAAAAAUGUAUAUCUCCAAAUGUUUCUUUCAAGGAAUGGAAACUGUUACACACAUGUUUUCUAAAGUCUAUUUAUCUGAGACCCUUGUCUUUCAGCUAUUAUUUCCCUUUGAGAGGGAAGUUUUGCACUAAACAAAAUUGAUAUAGAUAUAAUUAUUUGUUAGAAGUGUGAUAAUAUAUUCAUAUUUGACUGAGAUACCCACGUUUGAAGUCCUACAUACACAGGUUUAGAGGAGAUUUAGGGUUUUAAUUCUGCAAAUUUAGAAGCAUGGCACAUCUAAGUGCUGAACUAUCCGUUUUGUUUGACUCUCUAAUGUAACUACGAGGUACUGUUUUGCCUUAACAUUUUCAAAUAAAAUCUAUUUUAAAACGAAUGUGCAAAUUUUUUAUUUAUUUAUUUGUUAACAAG
Molecule: long non-coding RNA, 4919 nt
Filed under: Pelobates cultripes (western spadefoot toad)
Lineage: Eukaryota; Metazoa; Chordata; Amphibia; Anura; Pelobatidae
Source: RNAcentral